CAAAGAGCCUCUGCUUCUCGGAUCUUGCCAUCUUCCUUUCUAGAGAGCCUGCUUCAAAUGUCGCUCCAGUCCCCAAACUGAGGAGGGUGAAAGGUUGGAAAGAUGCCUAUGAGAAAAGUCUGGUCCACGUGUCCUGCUGCGUCAUUUGGCCACCCACCUUCACUUCUUUUUUCCCAGCUUAUAGCUGCCACACUUCCGUGCAGAAACAGGCCACGUUGGGUUCUUUCUGUGAUAGAUUCUUUUGCUGUUGCCCUAGUAACAGAAUUAUUAAACCGAGUUCCAGCCUCGAGAGUAUUUGUGCCUGGUGAGACUGUCUUUGUAAUGGGAGAAGAUGCUCUAAGAACCCAGGAGCUAUGGUGAAAUCCUAAAGGCCAAUGUGAUGGUCUUGGAGGUACUUACACUUUCAAUAACCUGCAUAUGGAUUUCAACGCUAUUUAAUUAAGCCUUAAACCUAUAAAAAUGCACAUUUAAUACUCAAGUAAGCCCCUGACGUGUUCCCUCUGAAGAUAAACAGUAGCUGUUUGAGUGCUGUCAGAAGUUAGAGCCGAGCCCAGAAGAAUUCCAAAGAUGCUGCUUAGCUAAGGCCGCCAGAGGAAGCUGCUCAGACACCUGUGAUUCUGAGCACAGCAAGACCCGCAGAGGAGGUUCCCCACCCGGACAGUCCAAGUAUGUGUCUGAUGAGGCCAGGACACAGCCACGUGGAUAUAGACCUUCAGCACAGCCACGCAAAGCACACACACUGCAGGCUAUCUCUCUGCACACAGCCCUGGAUGGUAUGAGACCAUUGCCUCCUUCCUAAGCGGUGCUUAGGAAAGCAUUGACAACUUUCUUGGGGUACUAAGUGAAGGCUACAUCUGAAGCUGCCUCUUGGUUCUCUCCCUAGCAGACCUGUAACUCCUAAAGCCUGUCACUCGUUUUGACUAUGAGAGUCUGUGUGAGUACGUAAUCUCUGAUGAAUAAAAUCCACUAACAAUUCAAC
Molecule: long non-coding RNA, 979 nt
Filed under: Equus asinus (donkey)
Lineage: Eukaryota; Metazoa; Chordata; Mammalia; Perissodactyla; Equidae
Description: lncRNA (ENSEASG00005035640.1)
Source: RNAcentral